This 420-nucleotide ribosomal RNA is filed under the name uncultured bacterium. RNAcentral's name for it is "bacterial SSU rRNA". It matches the Rfam family "Bacterial small subunit ribosomal RNA", at positions 381 to 793 of the family's 1533-position model. The record is from RNAcentral.
CCCUGAUGCAGCCAUGCCGCGUGUGUGAAGAAGGCCUUCGGGUUGUAAAGCACUUUCAGUAGGGAGGAAGGUAGUGUAGUUAACACCUGCAUUAUUUGACGUUACCUACAGAAGAAGCACCGGCUAACUCCGUGCCAGCAGCCGCGGUAAUACGGAGGGUGCGAGCGUUAAUCGGAAUUACUGGGCGUAAAGCGCAUGCAGGCGGCCUGUUAAGUCAGAUGUGAAAGCCCGGGGCUUAACCUCGGAAUUGCAUUUGAAACUGGCAGGCUAGAGUCUUGUAGAGGGGGUAGAAUUUCAGGUGUAGCGGUGAAAAUGCGUAGAGAUCUGAAGGAAUACCAGUGGCGAAGGCGGCCCCCUGGACAAAGACUGACGCUCAGAUGCGAAAGCGUGGGGAGCAAACAGGAUUAGAUACCCUGGUAG